CGAAGAGGAGUUAUCCGAAAUAGAGGAAGGAGAAGGACUCUGACUCCCGAUUUUGUUACACGUCGCAGCCAACAUGGCUAAAGGAGUCGACCCCAAUCUCGGCUCCUCCUGGAACAAAAGAAAAAGUUAGAAGCAGGAGGUGGGUCAGAGAGAACAGAUGUCCCUGUGUGUGCUGGGCUGCCAAGUCAGGCUAGGGCAGUGAAGCCCGAGACACAAGAGCCCAAAUGGUGUGACAAAGGAGGAGCAGGAAGCCUGGCUCUGCCUGGAUGAACCUCAGAGAGCGCCAGUCCACAUCCACAUCCCAGCCCCAACCCUCGGCACACGGCCCACAACCCUAUUGAACUACUAGAGCAGGGCCGUGGACCAUGUGCUGACUUUUUGCUGGAUCACACAACCAUACACAUGAUCACAGGAGUGUAAACGCUGACAUAUGAUCACUAGAGGACAAGUGUGCAGAGUUUAAGCAGAAAUCUCACACACAUGCACAGGUAUAAACACUUCAUCUUGUCAGACUGUGGUAUAGCAUGUUAUUAUCGCGCUUCCUCUUGCUAAGUGGGAUCUAUAUUCCUGUGGUGGGGAUUUCCAGUGUCUUUCCAUAACAACUCCAAUCAAAGAAAAUGAAGGGGUAUUUAGUUCUUCUCCAGAAGUGUUCUGCAAACUUGCUUUGUAACGUUAGACGAGGAAGUCAAGGUGAGUAGUGGCAAAAAGUGCUUAGUACACUUCAAUUUUUUUUUUUUAUUUAAGCUCACAGAGAAUUAUACAAAUUAUAAAAAGCAUUUCUGCUGUAUUCACUUGACACAGUUGGAAAAGUUUUAUAAAUUGCACUGCUGGAAAAGUUUUGUGCAUUAGAAAAAUAAAUAAUGACUAUUAAAUAAUGACUAUGAUGGUGAUGGUGGUGAUAUAAUUAAGAAUGUUAACUUCUCAAGAUAAGAGAUAAGAAAAAAUAUAGUCUUCAGAUUUCAGGUAAGGGAAACCUUUAGCCUAUAGAUUUAAGAUGUCCAUGUAAUACAAUUAGUUAUAUGAAAAAGGUCAAAAUAUGAUUUUAAUAUUUAAGCAUGCCUGUGUGUAAAUUCCAUAUUAAGGGGCUUCCCUGUCAUCAGGGCAAUUCAAGCGUGAAGUUGCAAAUGCGAAGCAUUGUGUUGGACUGCAGUCAGUCCAGCUUCAGCUGUUACUGAAGGCAAAUGCACCUUACCAAGCCACAGACAGCACAGAAUGAUUGAAAUCCCAACUGUUAACUGUUAAAUUUAUUAAAAUAAUUAAGUUUUUAUAAUGCAUUUUUAAUGAUUUACCUCUAUGCCACAAUAAUGAAAUAUAUUUAUAUU
This is a long non-coding RNA of Carassius auratus (goldfish), 1322 nucleotides long. RefSeq lists it as uncharacterized. NCBI's taxonomy places the organism in Eukaryota, Metazoa, Chordata, Actinopteri, Cypriniformes, Cyprinidae. The record is from RefSeq and is a predicted model, not a curated record. The transcript has 3 exons.